CUGGACCUUGCAGCGAACAGCAUGCCUGGCGAUCUUAGUCAAUGGAUAAUGAAGCAUUAUGAUCCAGAGAUGUCACAGAUAGUUAUUCCAGAGAGGGGGAAGAUUCCAGUAGAUGCUGCGAGUGUUCGGAGGAUAUGGGGUUUGCCAAAUAGGGGGAGAAAAGUCUGUUACGAAAAC
Molecule: ribosomal RNA, 177 nt
Filed under: Triticum aestivum (bread wheat)
Lineage: Eukaryota; Viridiplantae; Streptophyta; Magnoliopsida; Poales; Poaceae
Description: partial small subunit ribosomal RNA
Source: RNAcentral